UACGAAGGAGGCUAGCGUUGCUCGGAAUCACUGGGCGUAAAGCGCACGUAGGCGGAUUGCUAAGUCAGGGGUGAAAUCCUGGAGCUCAACUCCAGAACUGCCUUUGAUACUGGCGACCUUGAGUCCGGGAGAGGUGAGUGGAACUGCGAGUGUAGAGGUGAAAUUCGUAGAUAUUCGCAAGAACACCAGUGGCGAAGGCGGCUCACUGGCCCGGUACUGACGCUGAGGUGGGAAAGCGUGGGGAGCAAACAGG
RNAcentral lists this ribosomal RNA (253 nucleotides) under uncultured bacterium. Its description in RNAcentral is "partial 16S ribosomal RNA". It matches the Rfam family "Bacterial small subunit ribosomal RNA", at positions 524 to 776 of the family's 1533-position model. The record is from RNAcentral.